GGUGACAGUUUGACCUCAACAGUCAUACUGGUGGCAGGGGCCCAGACCAGUGCCUCUGGAUUGCUGGUUCAGGGGGCAUGACCCUGAGCAUUUGUGGAGAGGGGAGGGUGUGGUCAGCUGUUUCAUUUGGGGGCUCUCCUGACCCUUAGAAGACCGAGAUGUGCCCGACUGCACAGAGGACGAAGUUGAAGUCACUCUUCUAGAAACUGCCUGGUGCAGAUGCCGUGGUGACAGAUAUGAAAGGAUGGGCCUUUGAACAUGGCUCAGCUUACCAGACAUAACAUCUGGAGCGGGAUCCUCCUGGCAUCACCUGAAUUGGCUGCCCUGAAGACAUACUUUGUGAUCCCUGAAAGCUCAUUCCAGCCCCCAGAGUGCCUGGAACCCUUGGCACUGAGAUUCGAGUGAAGAAUGAGAUAAGUCCUGAGAAUGUUGGCAAUUGGGCUUGAGUCCCCUCGCAGAUGUAUACUGGAUACCCAGCAGGAGACUUUUGCAUGCUGAGCCCUCCCCAGCGUGGUUCCCACAAUGACAGGACAUCAUUGUCAGGAACCAGAGUGUCCUCCAACCUCUCAUUUCCAAACCA
RNAcentral lists this long non-coding RNA (580 nucleotides) under Mus pahari (shrew mouse). RNAcentral's name for it is "lncRNA (MGP_PahariEiJ_G0006172.1)". Lineage: Eukaryota; Metazoa; Chordata; Mammalia; Rodentia; Muridae. The record is from RNAcentral.